ACUUGAGGUAAUUUAUGAUAAAAUGACAUCACAAAACGAACAGAACCAGAAUCAGAAAUUUAAAAAAUUUUGUAAUAUAAUAAAUAAAUCAACCAACAUAUAAAAAAACGAAUAAAACUUGCAAAAAUUAAUCAAAAACCCUCUUCGACGCCGCUUUUUAUGUGUAACGUCAUGUUUUAGGAACAUCGUGCCCAUCGUUUGACAGUAAAUACACAGC
This 217-nucleotide long non-coding RNA is filed under the name Mytilus galloprovincialis (Mediterranean mussel). Lineage: Eukaryota; Metazoa; Mollusca; Bivalvia; Mytilida; Mytilidae. The record is from RNAcentral.